RNAcentral lists this transfer RNA (89 nucleotides) under Saccharomyces cerevisiae (brewer's yeast). It matches the Rfam family "tRNA". Rfam says of the family: Transfer RNA (tRNA) molecules are approximately 80 nucleotides in length. Their secondary structure includes four short double-helical elements and three loops (D, anti-codon, and T loops). Lineage: Eukaryota; Fungi; Ascomycota; Saccharomycetes; Saccharomycetales; Saccharomycetaceae. The record is from RNAcentral.
CUCUCGGUAGCCAAGUUGGUUUAAGGCGCAAGACUUUAAUUUAUCACUACGAAAUCUUGAGAUCGGGCGUUCGACUCGCCCCCGGGAGA